Molecule: ribosomal RNA, 30 nt
Filed under: Minois dryas
Lineage: Eukaryota; Metazoa; Arthropoda; Insecta; Lepidoptera; Nymphalidae
Source: RNAcentral
CCGCCUGGGAACACCGCGUGAUGUUGGCUU